RNAcentral lists this ribosomal RNA (22 nucleotides) under Mycobacterium tuberculosis variant bovis. RNAcentral's name for it is "partial 23S rRNA". Lineage: Bacteria; Bacillati; Actinomycetota; Actinomycetes; Mycobacteriales; Mycobacteriaceae. The record is from RNAcentral. RNAcentral also lists the same sequence under 8 other names.
UUGUAAGUGUCUAAGGGCGCAU